UUUCCGUAGGUGAACCUGCGGAAGGAUCAUUACCGAGUGGGGGCCCUCUGGGUCCAACCUCACACCCGUGUUUCUUAUACCUUGUUGCUUUUUCGGGCCCUCCUCCCGGCUGAGGGGGGGCUUCUGCCCCCGGGCACGUGCCCGCCGAUGACACCUUAGAACUUUGUCUGAAGAUUGUAGUCUGAGUAAAAAUAUAAAUUAUUUAAAACUUUCAACAACGGAUCUCUUGGUUCCG
Molecule: unclassified non-coding RNA, 235 nt
Filed under: plant metagenome
Description: partial contains small subunit ribosomal RNA, internal transcribed spacer 1, and 5.8S ribosomal RNA
Source: RNAcentral